This 497-nucleotide ribosomal RNA is filed under the name uncultured bacterium. Its description in RNAcentral is "partial 16S ribosomal RNA". It matches the Rfam family "Bacterial small subunit ribosomal RNA", at positions 28 to 507 of the family's 1533-position model. The record is from RNAcentral.
GAUGAACGCUGGCGGCGUGCCUAAUACAUGCAAGUCGAGCGAACGGACGAGAAGCUUGCUUCUCUGAUGUUAGCGGCGGACGGGUGAGUAACACGUGGAUAACCUACCUAUAAGACUGGGAUAACUUCGGGAAACCGGAGCUAAUACCGGAUGAUAUUUUGAACCGCAUGGUUCAAAAGUGAAAGACGGUCUUGCUGUCACUUAUAGAUGGAUCCGCGCUGCAUUAGCUAGUUGGUAAGGUAACGGCUUACCAAGGCAACGAUGCAUAGCCGACCUGAGAGGGUGAUCGGCCACACUGGAACUGAGACACGGUCCAGACUCCUACGGGAGGCAGCAGUAGGGAAUCUUCCGAAAAGGGCGAAAGCCUGACGGAGCAACGCCGCGUGAGUGAUGAAGGUCUUCGGAUCGUAAAACUCUGUUAUUAGGGAAGAACAUAUGUGUAAGUAACUGUGCACAUCUUGACGGUACCUAAUCAGAAAGCCACGGCUAACUACGUG